Molecule: ribosomal RNA, 486 nt
Filed under: uncultured bacterium
Lineage: Bacteria
Description: bacterial SSU rRNA
Rfam family: Bacterial small subunit ribosomal RNA
Source: RNAcentral
GAUGAACGCUGGCGGCGUGCCUAACACAUGCAAGUCGAACGAAUCAGAUAUUCAACACUGAGUAUUUAGACGAAGGAAAAAAGUUAGCCAGCGUCAAGGACGAACGAUAGAGAGUCCUUUACGCGUUCAAAAAGUGUGCUAACACAUGAUAGUCUGAAUGUUGAGUGUUGAAUAUCUGAUUAGUGGCGGACGGGUGAGUAACGCGUGGGAAACCUGCCCUAUACAGGGGGAUAGCCUCGGGAAACUGGGAUUAAUACCCCAUAAAACUCUAGUAUCGCAUGAUACAUGAGCCAAAGAUUUAUCGGUAUAGGAUGGUCCCGCGUCUGAUUAGCUAGUUGGUGAGGUAACGGCUCACCAAGGCGACGAUCAGUAGCCGGCCUGAGAGGGUGAACGGCCACACUGGAACUGAGACACGGUCCAGACUCCUACGGGAGGCAGCAGUGGGGAAUAUUGCACAAUGGGGGAAACCCUGAUGCAGCGACGCCG